UCUAAAUAUCAUAGGACUUCUUAGGUUUC
This 29-nucleotide non-coding RNA is filed under the name Rattus norvegicus (Norway rat). Lineage: Eukaryota; Metazoa; Chordata; Mammalia; Rodentia; Muridae. The record is from RNAcentral.